RNAcentral lists this ribosomal RNA (459 nucleotides) under uncultured bacterium. Its description in RNAcentral is "partial 16S ribosomal RNA". It matches the Rfam family "Bacterial small subunit ribosomal RNA", at positions 338 to 795 of the family's 1533-position model. The record is from RNAcentral.
CCUACGGGAGGCAGCAGUGAGGAAUAUUGGUCAAUGGUCGGGAGACUGAACCAGCCAAGCCGCGUGAGGGAUGAAGGUACAGAGUAUCGUAAACCUCUUUUGUCAGGGAACAAAGGCGGGGACGUGUCCCCGGCUGAGUGUACCUGAAGAAAAAGCAUCGGCUAACUCCGUGCCAGCAGCCGCGGUAAUACGGAGGAUGCGAGCGUUAUCCGGUUUUAUUGGGUUUAAAGGGUGCGCGGGCGGUGUGUUAAGUCAGCGGUCAAAGCCCGGGGCUCAACCCCGGCCCGCCGUUGAAACUGGCAGUCUCGAGUUGGAGAGAAGUAGGCGGAAUGCGCGGUGUAGCGGUGAAAUGCAUAGAUAUCGCGCAGAACUCCGAUUGCGAAGGCAGCAUGCCGGCUCCAAACUGACGCUGAGGCACGAAAGCGUGGGUAUCGAACAGGAUUAGAUACCCCGGUAGUC